RNAcentral lists this ribosomal RNA (497 nucleotides) under uncultured bacterium. RNAcentral describes it as "partial 16S ribosomal RNA". It matches the Rfam family "Bacterial small subunit ribosomal RNA", at positions 28 to 507 of the family's 1533-position model. The record is from RNAcentral.
GAUGAACGCUGGCGGCGUGCCUAAUACAUGCAAGUAGAACGCUGAAGCUUGGUGCUUGCACCGAGCGGAUGAGUUGCGAACGGGUGAGUAACGCGUAGGUAACCUGCCUCUUAGCGGGGGAUAACUAUUGGAAACGAUAGCUAAUACCGCAUAAAAGUCGAUAUCGCAUGAUAUUGAUUUGAAAGGUGCAAAUGCAUCACUAAGAGAUGGACCUGCGUUGUAUUAGCUAGUUGGUGAGGUAACGGCUCACCAAGGCGACGAUACAUAGCCGACCUGAGAGGGGGAUCGGCCACACUGGGACUGAGACACGGCCCAGACUCCUACGGGAGGCAGCAGUAGGGAAUCUUCGGCAAUGGGGGCAACCCUGACCGAGCAACGCCGCGUGAGUGAAGAAGGUUUUCGGAUCGUAAAGCUCUGUUGUAAGAGAAGAACGAGUGUGAGAGUGGAAAGUUCACACUGUGACGGUAACUGACCAGAAAGGGACGGCUAACUACGUG